AAAAAUGAAGGUGAGAUUGUGGAGGGUUUGUGAGCGGAGACGAUGAAAUGCGGAAGCUUAGGGGAGUGAGAGUUUUUUGGGAGAGUGGCGGCUAGGUCUGCUGUCUGUCGAGAAGAGGAACGAUUGUUUCACUUUUUAUUUAUUUUUAUUCUUUUGUCCUUUUGUUUUUAGAGAGAGGGAUCUCUUCCUGAGAUCCUCAAGAGAGACGUUGAGAGUCCCUCUUUUGGAAGGAGAGAUUUUUUAUUUUUAUUCUUAACUUAUUCCUAUAUUUUUUGAUUGGCUGAAAUAGAAAUUACAUGGAUUGCAAGCAUGAACCAUUAAUCAAUUGAAUCUAAUGGUCAAAAUGAAAGCAAAGAAACACAACUAAUUUA
RNAcentral lists this long non-coding RNA (371 nucleotides) under Lathyrus oleraceus (garden pea). RNAcentral describes it as "Pisum sativum (pea) long non-coding RNA (PSAT_LNC036992)". The record is from RNAcentral. Lineage: Eukaryota; Viridiplantae; Streptophyta; Magnoliopsida; Fabales; Fabaceae.